UUCCGGUUGAUCCCGCCGGACCUGACUGCUAUCGGAUUGAUACUAAGCCAUGCGAGUCUUUGUAGUAAUACAAGGCAGACGGCUCAGUAACACGUAGUCAACCUACCCUAUGGACAAGAAUAAUCUCGGGAAACUGGGCAUAAUUCUUGAUAGAUCAUAAUGCCUGGAAUGGUUUAUGGUUAAAAUGAUUCGUCGCCAUAGGAUGGGACUGCGGCCUAUCAGCUUGUUGGUGAGGUAAUGGCCCACCAAGGCGAUUACAGGUACGGGCUCUGAGAGGAGAAGCCCGGAGAUGGGUACUGAGACACGGACCCAGGCCCUAUGGGGCGCAGCAGGCGAGAAAACUUUGCAAUGUGCGAAAGCACGACAAGGUUAAUCCGAGUGAUUUCUGCUAAAGAAAUCUUUUGCCAGUCAUAAAACCACUGGCGAAUAAGGGGUGGGCAAGUUCUGGUGUCAGCCGCCGCGGUAAAACCAGCACCUCAAGUGGUCAGGAUGAUUAUUGGGCCUAAAGCAUCCGUAGCCGGCUUUGUAAGUUUUCGGUUAAAUCCAUGUGCUCAACGCAUGGGCUGCCGAAAAUACUGCAUGGCUAGGGAGUGGGAGAGGUAGACGGUACUCAGUAGGAAGGGGUAAAAUCCUUUGAUCUAUUGAUGACCACCUGUGGCGAAGGCGGUCUACCAGAACACGUUCGACGGUGAGGGAUGAAAGCUGGGGGAGCAAACCGGAUUAGAUACCCGGGUAGUCCCAGCUGUAAACGAUGCAGACUCGAUGAUGCAUUGGCAUAAUAGCCAGUGCAGUGUCGCAGGGAAGCCGUUAAGUCUGCCGCCUGGGAAGUACGUACGCAAGUAUGAAACUUAAAGGAAUUGGCGGGGGAGCACCACAAGGGGUGAAGCCUGCGGUUCAAUUGGAUUCAACGCCGG
RNAcentral lists this ribosomal RNA (914 nucleotides) under uncultured marine archaeon. RNAcentral describes it as "bacterial SSU rRNA". It matches the Rfam family "Archaeal small subunit ribosomal RNA", at positions 1 to 921 of the family's 1478-position model. The record is from RNAcentral.